RNAcentral lists this unclassified non-coding RNA (213 nucleotides) under Hevea brasiliensis (rubber tree). The record is from RNAcentral. Lineage: Eukaryota; Viridiplantae; Streptophyta; Magnoliopsida; Malpighiales; Euphorbiaceae.
GUUGUAGUGUCAGGACGGACUUUAGUUCCCUUCAUUAGUUCAAAAUAGGAAAGGGCUUUUGCAUACUGGGUACCAUUUUUGUAGGCAGAUAAGACAAUAUUAUGAGUCAUCAGGUCAGGUCCAACACCAUUUUCAGUCAUUUCCUUGCAAACUUUAAGAGCCUCUCUCCAAUUUCCACUAGAUCCACAUGCAUUGAUCAAAUUGUUGUAUGUU